Daktulosphaira vitifoliae (grape phylloxera) is the source of this 477-nucleotide long non-coding RNA. RefSeq lists it as uncharacterized. The record is from RefSeq and is a predicted model, not a curated record. Lineage: Eukaryota; Metazoa; Arthropoda; Insecta; Hemiptera; Phylloxeridae. The transcript is spliced from 4 exons.
AUAAUAUUUAACAGUUCCAAAGCUCUUGAAAAAGAUGAAAUAUACAAUUUUCUUUUAGAUUUUAUAGGAGAAGGAUUGGUUACAGCUCCCGUUUACAAAUGGAAACAACAUCGAAAAAUAAUUUCUCCUGCUUUUAAUACUUCUUUCGUAAAUCAACUUUUAUCGAUUUUUAAUGAGAAAACAUCAAUCUUAAUAAGAAAUCUUCAAAAAGAACUAGGAAAAACUGAAACAUUUGAUAUUUCGGAUUAUAUAAUUUCUAUUUCAGUUGAAACUAUAAGUGAAACUGCAAUGGGAUAUAGUUGUGAUACACAAAGUGAUAGUAAAUAUGUCUUUAGUAAAGCAAUAGAAGAGGGUUCAAAAGUUAUUUGUACGAGGAUGUGUAAACCAUGGCUGUAUCCUAAUUUUAUUUUUAAUAUAUAUGCAAAUAUAACGGGCUGUCGUAAGAUUUGCAAAAAAUUUCAUAAAUUACCAGAUCAA